UCAGGUCCAGGUCAUGAUCAAGUCCCCAAUCGUGCUCUGCAUUCAGCAGGGAGUCUGCUGGAGGAUUUCUCUCCCUCUCCUUCUGCCUCUCUUGCUUGUCCUGGUAAAGGUAUAAUGAGACAAAUAUAUUCAAAUAUUGCUAAAUGGCAUUAGAAAUUGGGUCAUAUAUUUUCAGAAAUACUUGUUCAUAUGUAUUCAGAAGUUCUAUUACAUUGGUGCCUGGCUGGCUCAGUCAGUAGAGCAUGCGAUGCUUGAUCUCAGGGUUGUGAGUUCAAGCCCCACAUUGGCCAUAGAGAUUACUUAAAAAAAUAAAAUCUUUUAAAAAUAAAAAAAUAAAAAAUAAGGCUCUAUUACAAGCUUUGUACCCUCUGGCCCACUAAUCCCUUUCCUGAUAAUCUAGCCAAAGGUAAUAAUCCAAAGCAGGAGAAAAGAAUCGGUUUUUAUAUGCGAAUGUAUAUUAUAGCAUUAUUUAUAAUCAUGGAAAAAGGAGAGCCCCCAAUAGGGGAAUAGUUAAAUAAAUUACAAUGCAUCUAUAUGAUGAUUAUGUAGUUUUUUCUUUUAUAUACUUUUCAUUUUGAAGGAAAUUUACAGAAAACUUAAGUUACAAUACAAAGAACUCAGUCUUUCCUGGACCCCUGGAGAAAGAGGAAAGAAAAUUCUCGUGGCAACUUUGGACUUACACAUCACUUCAGCUCUCAAAUACGGCAUGUUUGUAAAUGGUCCUGUUCUGCUCACGCCACCUUUAGUCUCAUCUCAGUGGCACCCCUGUGCAGGCUGCAUCUCACUGUUCUGUCAAAUGACAAAAAACCCCAAGAGCAAAAGUGGGGAUACGGGAUGAGAAACCCGGGACAGAGCCGGCUAGUGUGGGCCGGCCUCCCGUGUGCUCCAGAUGGCAGAGCCUGGUCCCAUGGGAUCCCCCCUCUCUUGGGAGAGAGGUGCUCGGCUGGCUCAGCUGGGACCCACACUGCUGUGUGAUUAAAAGUAAUUGAAAGUAAUCUCUAUUACUUUUUAAAAAGAAAAGG
Lutra lutra (Eurasian river otter) is the source of this 1022-nucleotide long non-coding RNA. RefSeq lists it as uncharacterized. Lineage: Eukaryota; Metazoa; Chordata; Mammalia; Carnivora; Mustelidae. The record is from RefSeq and is a predicted model, not a curated record. The transcript is spliced from 2 exons.